This 413-nucleotide ribosomal RNA is filed under the name uncultured bacterium. RNAcentral's name for it is "bacterial SSU rRNA". It matches the Rfam family "Bacterial small subunit ribosomal RNA", at positions 984 to 1392 of the family's 1533-position model. The record is from RNAcentral.
ACAUCCAUCUGACCGGUACUUAAUCGUAGCCUUCUCUUCGGAGCAGGAGUGACAGGUGGUGCAUGGUUGUCGUCAGCUCGUGUCGUGAGAUGUUGGGUUAAGUCCCGCAACGAGCGCAACCCUUAUCUUUAGUAGCCAGCGGUUCGGCCGGGCCCUCUAGAGAGACUGCCAGGGAUAACCUGGAGGAAGGCGGGGAUGACGUUCAACUCAUCUGCCCCUUAUGAGCUGGGGCUACACACGGGCUACAGAUGGCGUAAAACAAAGGGAAGCAAACCUGUGAGGCUAACCAAAUCUCAAAAAUUACGUCCUCUGUUCGGACUGUAGUCUGCAACCCGACUACACGAAGCUGGAAUCGCUAGUAAUCGCAAUCAGAAUUGCUGCGGUGAAUACGUUCCCGGGUCUUGUACACACCG